This 468-nucleotide ribosomal RNA is filed under the name uncultured bacterium. RNAcentral describes it as "partial 16S ribosomal RNA". It matches the Rfam family "Bacterial small subunit ribosomal RNA", at positions 28 to 507 of the family's 1533-position model. The record is from RNAcentral.
GACGAACGCUGGCGGCGUGCUUAACACAUGCAAGUCGAACGGACAGGCCCUGCUUUUGUGGGGUGCUCGAGUGGCGACCGGUUGAGUAACACGUGAGUAACCUGCCCUUGACUUUGGGAUAACUUCUGGAACCUGUUGCUAAUACCGGAUAGGAGCUCCUGCUGCCUGGUGGGGGUUGGAAAGUUUCGGCGGUUGGGGAUGGACUCGCGGCUUAUCAGCUUGUUGGUGGGGUAGUGGCUUACCAAGGCUUUGCCGGGUAGCCGGCCUGAGAGGGUGACCGGCUAGAUGGGGACUGAGAUACGGCCCAGACUCGUACGGGAGGCAGCAGUGGGGAAUAUUGCACAAUGGGCGGAAGCCUGAUGCAGCAACGCAGCGUGCGGGAUGACGGCCUUCGGGUUGGAAACCGAUUUCGCCUGUGACGAAGCGUGAGUGACGGUAAUGGGUAAAGAAGCACCGGCUAACUACGUG